GUCCGUAUAGCUCAGUAGGAUAGAGCACAAGCCUCCUAAGCUUGGGGUGGCAGGUUCGAUUCCUGUUGCGGACGCCA
Molecule: transfer RNA, 77 nt
Filed under: Mycoplasmopsis columbinasalis
Lineage: Bacteria; Bacillati; Mycoplasmatota; Mycoplasmoidales; Metamycoplasmataceae
Description: Mycoplasma columbinasale tRNA-Arg(cct)
Rfam family: tRNA
About the family: Transfer RNA (tRNA) molecules are approximately 80 nucleotides in length. Their secondary structure includes four short double-helical elements and three loops (D, anti-codon, and T loops).
Source: RNAcentral